CAUAGGUUAAUGAGGCGAACCGGGGGAACUGAAACAUCUAAGUACCCCGAGGAAAAGAAAUCAACCGAGAUUCCCCCAGUAGCGGCGAGCGAACGGGGAGCAGCCCAGAGCCUGAAUCAGUGUGUGUGUUAGUGGAAGCGUCUGGAAAGGCGCGCGAUACAGGGUGACAGCCCCGUACACAAAAAUGCACAUGCUGUGAGCUCGAUGAGUAGGGCGGGACACGUGGUAUCCUGUCUGAAUAUGGGGGGACCAUCCUCCAAGGCUAAAUACUCCUGACUGACCGAUAGUGAACCAGUACCGUGAGGGAAAGGCGAAAAGAACCCCGGCGAGGGGAGUGAAAAAGAACCUGAAACCGUGUACGUACAAGCAGUGGGAGCACGCUUAGGCGUGUGACUGCGUACCUUUUGUAUAAUGGGUCAGCGACUUAUAUUCUGUAGCAAGGUUAACCGAAUAGGGGAGCCGAAGGGAAACCGAGUCUUAACUGGGCGUUAAGUUGCAGGGUAUAGACCCGAAACCCGGUGAUCUAGCCAUGGGCAGGUUGAAGGUUGGGUAACACUAACUGGAGGACCGAACCGACUAAUGUUGAAAAAUUAGCGGAUGACUUGUGGCUGGGGGUGAAAGGCCAAUCAAACCGGGAGAUAGCUGGUUCUCCCCGAAAGCUAUUUAGGUAGCGCCUCGUGAAUUCAUCUCCGGGGGUAGAGCACUGUUUCGGCAAGGGGGUCAUCCCGACUUACCAACCCGAUGCAAACUGCGAAUACCGGAGAAUGUUAUCACGGGAGACACACGGCGGGUGCUAACGUCCGUCGUGAAGAGGGAAACAACCCAGACCGCCAGCUAAGGUCCCAAAGUCAUGGUUAAGUGGGAAACGAUGUGGGAAGGCCCAGACAGCCAGGAUGUUGGCUUAGAAGCAGCCAUCAUUUAAAGAAAGCGUAAUAGCUCACUGGUCGAGUCGGCCUGCGCGGAAGAUGUAACGGGGCUAAACCAUGCACCGAAGCUGCGGCAGCGACGCUGAUGCGUUGUUGGGUAGGGGAGCGUUCUGUAAGCCUGUGAAGGUGUGCUGUGAGGCAUGCUGGAGGUAUCAGAAGUGCGAAUGCUGACAUAAGUAACGAUAAAGCGGGUGAAAAGCCCGCUCGCCGGAAGACCAAGGGUUCCUGUCCAACGUUAAUCGGGGCAGGGUGAGUCGACCCCUAAGGCGAGGCCGAAAGGCGUAGUCGAUGGGAAACAGGUUAAUAUUCCUGUACUUGGUGUUACUGCGAAGGGGGGACGGAGAAGGCUAUGUUGGCCGGGCGACGGUUGUCCCGGUUUAAGCGUGUAGGCUGGUUUUCCAGGCAAAUCCGGAAAAUCAAGGCUGAGGCGUGAUGACGAAGCACUACGGUGCUGAAGCAACAAAUGCCCUGCUUCCAGGAAAAGCCUCUAAGCAUCAGGUAACAUCAAAUCGUACCCCAAACCGACACAGGUGGUCAGGUAGAGAAUACCAAGGCGCUUGAGAGAACUCGGGUGAAGGAACUAGGCAAAAUGGUGCCGUAACUUCGGGAGAAGGCACGCUGAUAUGUAGGUGAAGUCCCUUGCGGAUGGAGCUGAAAUCAGUCGAAGAUACCAGCUGGCUGCAACUGUUUAUUAAAAACACAGCACUGUGCAAACACGAAAGUGGACGUAUACGGUGUGACGCCUGCCCGGUGCCGGAAGGUUAAUUGAUGGGGUUAGCGGUAACGCGAAGCUCUUGAUCGAAGCCCCGGUAAACGGCGGCCGUAACUAUAACGGUCCUAAGGUAGCGAAAUUCCUUGUCGGGUAAGUUCCGACCUGCACGAAUGGCGUAAUGAUGGCCAGGCUGUCUCCACCCGAGACUCAGUGAAAUUGAACUCGCUGUGAAGAUGCAGUGUACCCGCGGCAAGACGGAAAGACCCCGUGAACCUUUACUAUAGCUUGACACUGAACAUUGAGCCUUGAUGUGUAGGAUAGGUGGGAGGCUUUGAAGUGUGGACGCCAGUCUGCAUGGAGCCGACCUUGAAAUACCACCCUUUAAUGUUUGAUGUUCUAACGUUGACCCGUAAUCCGGGUUGCGGACAGUGUCUGGUGGGUAGUUUGACUGGGGCGGUCUCCUCCUAAAGAGUAACGGAGGAGCACGAAGGUUGGCUAAUCCUGGUCGGACAUCAGGAGGUUAGUGCAAUGGCAUAAGCCAGCUUGACUGCGAGCGUGACGGCGCGAGCAGGUGCGAAAGCAGGUCAUAGUGAUCCGGUGGUUCUGAAUGGAAGGGCCAUCGCUCAACGGAUAAAAGGUACUCCGGGGAUAACAGGCUGAUACCGCCCAAGAGUUCAUAUCGACGGCGGUGUUUGGCACCUCGAUGUCGGCUCAUCACAUCCUGGGGCUGAAGUAGGUCCCAAGGGUAUGGCUGUUCGCCAUUUAAAGUGGUACGCGAGCUGGGUUUAGAACGUCGUGAGACAGUUCGGUCCCUAUCUGCCGUGGGCGCUGGAGAACUGAGGGGGGCUGCUCCUAGUACGAGAGGACCGGAGUGGACGCAUCACUGGUGUUCGGGUUGUCAUGCCAAUGGCACUGCCCGGUAGCUAAAUGCGGAAGAGAUAAGUGCUGAAAGCAUCUAAGCACGAAACUUGCCCCGAGAUGAGUUCUCCCUGACUCCUUGAGAGUCCUGAAGGAACGUUGAAGACGACGACGUUGAUAGGCCGGGUGUGUAAGCGCAGCGAUGCGUUGAGCUAACCGGUACUAAUGAACCGUGAG
Molecule: ribosomal RNA, 2733 nt
Filed under: Escherichia coli
Lineage: Bacteria; Pseudomonadati; Pseudomonadota; Gammaproteobacteria; Enterobacterales; Enterobacteriaceae
Description: partial 23S ribosomal RNA
Rfam family: Bacterial large subunit ribosomal RNA
Source: RNAcentral